RNAcentral lists this long non-coding RNA (2022 nucleotides) under Heterocephalus glaber (naked mole-rat). Its description in RNAcentral is "lncRNA (ENSHGLG00000038538.1)". The record is from RNAcentral. Lineage: Eukaryota; Metazoa; Chordata; Mammalia; Rodentia; Bathyergidae.
UGAUCCUCUGCUGAAUCCGCAGCUGAACAUGCUGUUAGGAGGUGGGGUCUGUUCAGAAGUGGGGUUGGGAGCAGGAAGAAGCUGCCCAAACCUUCUUGGUUUGGAAGGACCACAGGGAGGGCAGAGCUGCAGCUACAUGGGUGAAGGCCUCAGUGGGCCCGGCUGUGCGUGCCCUCACACCUCAGUCACACUGACUGCUGUGCUGUUCCUGGAUGGAUGGACGUGCUCAUGGCCCACGCCUGGUUUUACUGGAAAAUGUAUAAAAUUCUGUGUAUAACUGGGUAAAUCACCAUUGUUUGACCCCCACUGGAUUAAACAUGAAGCUGUGGACUGAAGUAGGGACUCUGGAGGAGAGAGAGAGGAGAAAGGAGACGGGGAAGAGAGGAAGUAGGGAAGGGAGAGGAAGAAGUCAUGAUGUCAUAAGGAACGGGCACACAAAGGGAAAUAAAUCAGACGCAGAAGGUUAAACAUCACAUGGUUUCUGUUAUACGAGACACUCCAUAUAUAAAUAAUUUAAAGAGCAAAAUAAAAGAUAGAUGACAGGAAACAGGGAGACAGACUUUGCAGAGAUGGGAAGGGGAUCAAGAGAUGAGGAGACUGGAGGAAAGGGAACAGGAAGAGGAAGAAAAAAUGAUUAAGAUGUGAUAUGCAUAUGUCAUUAUUAUGAAUCACAAAUAUAUACAGAGAGAGAGAGAGGGAGGGAGGAGAGAGAGAGAGAGGACUCAUAGGAGGGCAGCAGGAAGGAACAAUUCCCACUCCCUGCAGGGAGGGGCCAGCCAGUGAAAUAGACAAAAGCAAGUGUUUUCUCCUGGCACAGUCUCUGAUCUGCAGAGCCAGGCUUGCAGCAAGGAAGGAAGUUGGUAAGAGGAAGAUUCUAAAAAGAUCUACCAGCCUUGGUCUUGUCAGUUCAUGACAUGACAGGGACGUCUCUUGGCAUGAAAGAACCUUAAGGGGCCCAUAGAGCAGUCUCCGCCUUACACCAAGGCACCAGGCUCUGUAGUCGGCAUCACAAAGAUGGACACACCUCACUCUGCUGAGCAGACGUGUGAACGGCGGCAGGAAGGCACAUGCUGUGUGCCAUCAUGCACUGCAAGGAGGCAGUGUGCCUGCCUGCUCCUCCCAACCCCUUGGCGGCACUCACUACGAUAUGGGUGUCAGUCCCUCGCAGGGAGAGGAAGUUGGGAGACAGGAAGAACCCAGUCUGAAAGUGCCAUGUCUAUCACCAUCAACCCAAACAGGCCCCUGGUCGUAACUGGCUUAUCCUUGUCUCACCCAAUGAAAUUAAGCAGAAAAGAAAAAUAAGGCAUGUUUUUAAACUACUCUGUGACCUCAAACAGAGGAAUAAUAUCUAGAAUUACAAAGAAUUCAGAAAAAUUACAGCCCCCCCAAUAAAAGACCCAAUGAAAAAUGGGCAACUAAAACAAAUAGAUAUUUCUCUGAAGAAAAUGAAAAAAUGUUCAACAUCUCUGGUCAUUAGAGAAAUGAAAAUCAAAACAACACUGAGAUUCCCUUACCCCAGAAGAAUGGCUGUCAUCAAGAAAUCAAAUAAUAACAAAUGCUGGCAAGGCUGUGGGGGAAAGGAACCCUGCUCCAUUGUUGGUGGGAGUGUAAGCUAGUGCAAUCACUAUAGAAAUCAGUAUGGAGAUUCCUCAAAAAACUAAAACUACAAAUUCCAUUUGACCCAGCUAUUCCCUUUCCAAGCAUCUCCCCAAAAGAGUUAAAGUCAUCAUAUUACAAAGAUCCAUGCAUAUCCAUGUUUAAAGCAGCUUAACUCAUAAUAGCUAAAUCUUGGAAGCAGCCUGUAUAUUCAUCAACAGAUGAAUGGAUAAAGAAAAUGUGGUAUUUACAUACAUCGGAGUACUAUCCCACCAUUAAGAAGAAUAAGCUUGAGUCAUUUAUAGGAAAGCAGACACACCUCAAGACCAUAAUGUUAAGUGAAGUAAGUUAGACACACACACUUAAACGAGAAACCCAAAGUAUAAACAAAAGAGCAAAAUAAAAAAAAGGCAAUUGGAAAUAGGG